Molecule: long non-coding RNA, 1638 nt
Organism: Sapajus apella (tufted capuchin)
Lineage: Eukaryota; Metazoa; Chordata; Mammalia; Primates; Cebidae
Exons: 3
Source: RefSeq, a predicted model, not a curated record
UUCCCCAGCCCACGCCUGAGCAGAUGGCACACCUGCCACCCCUUCAUGGAGUCUCCCGGACCUUGGGGCCCAGCCGGAAGCUGGGGUGGUGGGGUCUGCCCCCCUCUUAGAGAAUUUGUCAGUGCCAGACUUCAAGUCCUGGCCCUACCUCACAGGGCCUCUGUCCUGGGUUGCCCUCUCCACCUCCUGCUGGCCAGCCAGCCCCAGCCCAGGCCAUUCAGAGAGACACCACAAAGGCUGCACCUGCAGAUACCACCCAGGUCCGUUCCCUGAUUUCACACAGGAGGCAUCAGCCACGUGGCAGAGGUGGCAGCUCCUCAGAAGAACCCAAAUCUCUGGCUUUGGAUGAAACUGUAGCUCUAUGAUGGACUGUCCCCUUGGGCUGCCACGACCUGCUGCCCAGGCUGUGCACUGCACCACUCCGUCUGCCAUAGGUGUAGCAGCCUGCAGCCUUGCUCUACAUUGUCACUGAUAAGUAGUCAUUAUUCUCUCCCUGUCUGCAUAUAUAAUCCUCAUUUUCAGUUGUGUACACGGAGAAAAGGGAGGAGUCCUCCUCAUGGCCUUGGGGGGACCCACAGGAACUCUCCCUAACUCCCCCACUGACACCUACUUUCUCGGUAGGCCUAGAUGGCUGACCUGAGAGCUCCGGGGUCAGACGCCCUUCCUCACCCCAGGAACAUGGAGCUGCCAGGCGGAGUGGGCUUCUGUUUACUGCCUUGGGCUAAAGACGCAUGUCAGCAAUUGGCGAAGCACAGGGAAGCUGCAGCUCAACUCGCUAGACUGGCAAAUGCACGCUGCGCCCUCCUCUCACUAUAAGGAUGUAAAACAACCAUUUCUUUAUACUCAGAAACCAGAACACUUCCCUCUGCCAGGUCCUCCUGCCUCCCCCUGCUCAGCCCUAAGGGGCUCCCAGAAUGCCGUGGGGCCUAUGGCAAUGGGGAAGAAAACUGAAGGGGAAAUGGAGAGCCACCCUGGGACAGUGGGGGGCAGAAGCAUUAUUAAGUACCUGCUGUAUGCUGGCCCUUAACUGUUUUUCAUCUAAUUAUCAAAAUAGCCCUGUGAACGGAAGUCAGAAGCCCAGGGGACAGAAGGAGCACGGUUCGAAUCCCGGCUCUGUCCCUCAUCAGCUGGAGACUUGGGAGAGUUACUCGUCUAUAAAAUGGAAAUAAUAAUGGUAACUACCUCCACAGGGCUGGUGUGCAGAGUCCAUGAAGCCACCCACUGCAGGGCGAGAGUGGGGCAAGGACGAGCGGUGGUGAGCUGGGGAGGAGAGACCCUGGUUCAGCCUUGGGGUCCUCUGGAACUGCCGAUCUGCCUCCGGGAGUCCGCUCUCCAGGCGGAGGGCUGGACCCUGCCGUGCCGGUGUUAACUCGCCUUCUGGCCGCUGGCCGGUGAGUGGGAGGAGGAGAGCGCCGGGUGAAGCGGGGUGAGGACUCUCCAGCAAGUGCUCCCUCCAUCUGCCGUCCGCCCAGAGCCUCAGAGCCCCGGAUCGCAGCCUCCCUCCUGGCCGAGCCCCCAACACCCGCGGCGCGCCCCUCGGAGCAAUUACAUAACGAAGCCUCCGGUGCGCCUUUGUUAUCGCCCUCUGCCGCGGCAGUGGCCCCGCGAGUAUUAAUAAACCGAUCACUCAAAACGCCA